Molecule: RNA transcript, 1476 nt
Organism: Prunus persica (peach)
Lineage: Eukaryota; Viridiplantae; Streptophyta; Magnoliopsida; Rosales; Rosaceae
Exons: 3
Source: RefSeq, a predicted model, not a curated record
UGGAGUGGAAUGCACUAAACAAGUUGAGAAAACUAAACAUACUCCAUGUUUUACUUUAUUAACCAAUAUUGUCCAUUUUGUUAAAUUACCAUUAAAAAAUUCAUUUAAAUAUUUUAAGUUCUAUUUAUAAAGAAAACAAAUAUGAAUUAAAAGAAUAAAAUUUAAUUAAAAAAAUUCUGGAAACCCGACAGCCUCUAUGUCUUUCUCAUGCAACCACCACCACCCAACCCACACCACAACCACCAUGAGUAGUCCCAGCCACCACCUUAUUCUCUCUCUCUCUCUCUCUCUCUCUCUCUCUCUCUUUCAAUUGUCGAAUCCCAACAUGGCAACCAAGUUCUUCAGUUUCUUUUUGCUGAUUAUUUUGCUCUGCUCCACAUUCAUUGCAAUAAAGUGCCCGACCCUUCAAUAUCAUGAGUACAACAAUUGGAGGUUUCCUUGAUGGGAAUCGGGCCCUAGCCUAGGUGAGGGGCACUUACGAACCAACAAACCCUUGGAGGGAUAAAGAAAUCUGGCCCGAGCCCUCCCUUCUCUCCCCGAUCCAUCCCACCCCACCCCACAACUCCUCCAUCUCUCUUUCCUCUCUCUUUCUCUCUCCCUUUUUCCAUCCAACCCACGCCCACAAAAAUAUGAGUGAAAUAAAGAUUCAACAUCAGUAUUGGCAGGCAACUGAUGGUUGUGGUGUUGGGUUGGGUAGCGGCAGCAGCAUGAGAGGAGGACACAUAGUCUGUUGGGUUUCCAAAAUUUCUUUUUUAAUUUUUUAAUUUUUUAAUUUUUAUCAACAUUAUAAACUGAACUUAACAAAUUUUUUAAUUAAUUUUUAAACUUUAAUGAAUUUUUUAACAAUAAUUUAAUACAAUUGACAACAUUGACUAAUGGAGUCAAACACAGGAACUAAAUUGAUCAAAUUAAAUACAAGAUAUUAAAUUUGCCAAAUGUACAAAUUACAUGGACUAUUUUAAUAUUUAAGCCUUAAUUUUAUAGAAGCAGUUAGACUUAAUAAAUUUUAUAUUGUUUUUGCUUUUCCUCGGUGAUGAUUUUCAUUUAAUUUUUGAACAGAUGAGACAGAGGCAACUGAUUCUAUGCACUUGCAGGCAUGCUGAGAUUGAGGCGCUUAUACAUAUUGUCAUGGAUGAUUUCAAAGAUGCUUUUGCUGCCCCCUCUCAAAUAUGCUUAUUAAAAGCUGUUGCUGCAGAAUUUUCUGACCGAAGGCUUGCAAUGAAGCUAACGAACCAAUGAAUACAGAGCUAUUUAUAUAAAGAUAUUGUAGCUGUAAUAUUGUAGGUCCAGCAGAUGAAGAUGAAGAUGAAGAUGAAGAUGCUCAACUUAACAAUCCAAUAUUACUGCAACUGCAAUAUUCUUGAGAGGCUUAGAUUGAGACACUGUUGGGAAUUCCCCUGCCAGUAAGUCCUCCUCCGCUAGUAGGAAACAGCAAAGUGUAUGGCAUCUUCACCGGUCCAACUCGGUUCUUCAGUU